CCCGCUGAACUUAAGCAUCAUCUAUAAGCCGUAGGACAAGAAACUAACAAGGAUUCCCUUAGUAGCGGCGAGCCGAAGCGGGCAGAGCUCAAAUUUGAAAGCUGGCGUCCUUCGGGCGUCCGCAUUGUAAUCUAUAGAGGCCUUUUCUGUGCUGGACCGGGUCCAAGUCCCUUGGAACAGGGUAUCAAAGAGGGUGACAAUCCCGUACUUGACACGACAACCAGUGCUCUGUGAUAGGUUUUCUACGAGUCGAGUUGUUUGUGAAUGCAGCUCAAAAUGGGUGGUGAAUUCCAUCUAAAGCUAAAUAUUGGCGAGAGACCGAUAGCGAACAAGUACCGUGAGGGAAAGAUGAAAAGCACUUUGGAAAGAGAUUUAAACAGUAUGUGAAAUUGUUGAAAGGGAAACGAUGGAGGUCAGUGGUGUCUGUGCGAUUCAGCCGUCUCUGGCGGUGUGACUUCCCACAGACGGGUCAACAUCAGUUUUAAGUCGGCGGAUAAAGGCAGGAGGAAGGUGGCCACCCUCGGGUGUGUUAUAGCCUCUUGUUGCAUACGCUGGCUGAGACUGAGGAAUGCAGCUCGCCUUUAUGGCCGGGGUUCGCCCCACGUUCGAGCUUAGGACUGUUGACUACUAAUCGGCCAUACAACGACCUUGUACAUGAGACACGGAAGGGCGAAUUAGCGGCCUGCUAAAAUUCAAUUCGCCCCCAAAGAGAG
Molecule: ribosomal RNA, 713 nt
Filed under: uncultured fungus
Lineage: Eukaryota; Fungi
Description: eukaryotic LSU rRNA
Rfam family: Eukaryotic large subunit ribosomal RNA
Source: RNAcentral